CUUCGGGGUGUGACUGCGUACCUUUUGUAUAAUGGGUCAGCGACUUAUAUUCUGUAGCAAGGUUAACCGUAUAGGGGAGCCGGAGGGAAACCGAGUCUUAAUUGGGCGUUAAGUUGCAGGGUAUAGACCCGAAACCCGGUGAUCUAGCCAUGGGCAGGUUGAAGGUUGGGUAACACUAACUGGAGGACCGAACCGACUAAUGUUGAAAAAUUAGCGGAUGACCUGUGGCUGGGGGUGAAAGGCCAAUCAAACCGGGAGAUAGCUGGUUCUCCCCGAAAGCUAUUUAGGUAGCGCCUCGUGAAUUCAUCUCCGGGGGUAGAGCACUGUUUCGGCUAGGGGGCCAUCCCGGCUUACCAACCCGAUGCAAACUGCGAAUACCGGAGAAUGUUAUCACGGGAGACACACGGCGGGUGCUAACGUCCGUCGUGAAGAGGGAAACAACCCAGACCGCCAGCUAAGGUCCCAAAGUCAUGGUUAAGUGGGAAACGAUGUGGGAAGGCCCAGACAGCCAGGAUGUUGGCUUAGAAGCAGCCAUCAUUUAAAGAAAGCGUAAUAGCUCACUGGUCGAGUCGGCCUGCGCGGAAGAUGUAACGGGGCUAAACCAUGCACCGAAGCUGCGGCAGCGAACGUAUCACCCAAGACAACUUUACGGAGUUGACGAUUGACGGAGCGAAGCGACGUCAAAGCGUUCAUUAAAGUCGAGUUGGCUUAGGGAUACGUUCGUUGGGUAGGGGAGCGUUCUGUAAGCCUGUGAAGGUGUGUCGUGAGGCAUGCUGGAGGUAUCAGAAGUGCGAAUGCUGACAUAAGUAACGAUAAAGCGGGUGAAAAGCCCGCUCGCCGGAAGACCAAGGGUUCCUGUCCAACGUUAAUCGGGGCAGGGUGAGUCGACCCCUAAGGCGAGGCCGAAAGGCGUAGUCGAUGGGAAACGGGUUAAUAUUCCCGUACUUGGUGUUACUGCGAAGGGGGGACGGAGAAGGCUAUGUUGGCCGGGCGACGGUUGUCCCGGUUUAAGCGUGUAGGUGUGUGUUCCAGGUAAAUCCGGUUCACUUUAACACUGAGGCGUGACGACGAGGCACUACGGUGCUGAAGCAACAAAUGCCCUGCUUCCAGGAAAAGCCUCUAAGCAUCAGGUAACACGAAAUCGUACCCCAAACCGACACAGGUGGUCAGGUAGAGAAUACCAAGGCGCUUGAGAGAACUCGGGUGAAGGAACUAGGCAAAAUGGUGCCGUAACUUCGGGAGAAGGCACGCUGACACGUAGGUGAAGUGAUUUACUCAUGGAGCUGAAGUCAGUCGAAGAUACCAGCUGGCUGCAACUGUUUAUUAAAAACACAGCACUGUGCAAACACGAAAGUGGACGUAUACGGUGUGACGCCUGCCCGGUGCCGGAAGGUUAAUUGAUGGGGUCAGCGUAAGCGAAGCUCCUGAUCGAAGCCCCGGUAAACGGCGGCCGUAACUAUAACGGUCCUAAGGUAGCGAAAUUCCUUGUCGGGUAAGUUCCGACCUGCACGAAUGGCGUAAUGAUGGCCAGGCUGUCUCCACCCGAGACUCAGUGAAAUUGAACUCGCUGUGAAGAUGCAGUGUACCCGCGGCAAGACGGAAAGACCCCGUGAACCUUUACUAUAGCUUGACACUGAACAUUGAGCCUUGAUGUGUAGGAUAGGUGGGAGGCUUUGAAGUGUGGACGCCAGUCUGCAUGGAGCCGACCUUGAAAUACCACCCUUUAAUGUUU
Molecule: ribosomal RNA, 1732 nt
Filed under: Salmonella enterica subsp. enterica serovar Typhimurium
Lineage: Bacteria; Pseudomonadati; Pseudomonadota; Gammaproteobacteria; Enterobacterales; Enterobacteriaceae
Description: partial 23S ribosomal RNA
Rfam family: Bacterial large subunit ribosomal RNA
Source: RNAcentral